CAAAGGAAUUGACGGGACCCGCACAAGCGGUGGAUGAUGUGGAUUAAUUCGAUGCAACGCGAAAAACCUUACCUACCCUUGACAUGUCCGGAAUCCCGAAGAGAUUUGGGAGUGCUCGCAAGAGAACCGGAACACAGGUGCUGCAUGGCUGUCGUCAGCUCGUGUCGUGAGAUGUUGGGUUAAGUCCCGCAACGAGCGCAACCCUUGCCAUUAGUUGCUACGAAAGGGCACUCUAAUGGGACUGCCGGUGACAAACCGGAGGAAGGUGGGGAUGACGUCAAGUCCUCAUGGCCCUUAUAGGUGGGGCUACACACGUCAUACAAUGGCCGGUACAGAGGGUAGCCAACCCGCGAGGGGGAGCCAAUCCCACAAAGCCGGUCGUAGUCCGGAUCGCAGUCUGCAACUCGACUGCGUGAAGUCGGAAUCGCUAGUAAUCGCGGAUCAGCACGCCGCGGUCGAAUACGUUCCCGGGCCUU
RNAcentral lists this ribosomal RNA (476 nucleotides) under uncultured Bordetella sp. RNAcentral describes it as "bacterial SSU rRNA". It matches the Rfam family "Bacterial small subunit ribosomal RNA", at positions 902 to 1382 of the family's 1533-position model. Lineage: Bacteria; Pseudomonadati; Pseudomonadota; Betaproteobacteria; Burkholderiales; Alcaligenaceae. The record is from RNAcentral.